CCCCGUGCUCAUAGCACUGUGGACCCACCCCAUUCCAUCCCGAACUGGGUCGUGAAACGCAGUGGCGCCGAUGGUACUUGGACCGCAGGGUCCUGGGAGAGUAGGUCAGCGCGGGGG
RNAcentral lists this ribosomal RNA (117 nucleotides) under Deinococcus yavapaiensis KR-236. Lineage: Bacteria; Thermotogati; Deinococcota; Deinococci; Deinococcales; Deinococcaceae. The record is from RNAcentral.